UUUGUUUAGAAAUCGAUCCAUCCAGGUUAACAAAUAUUUCCUUUUCAUACCUGAAUCAAAAUGGAAUAAAGAAACAUAUAGUGCUGGAUAUCAGAGACGAAAAAGAGGUCUUGACAGUCGGUGUACAGCCUCAGGACGAAAGAAACAUCGAAGUGGGACUAGGCGCUGCUCCGGAAAGUUCGGGGUCGGAGACACGGGAUGAAGAAAUGUCCGAGAUAGGACCACUGCGAUCUGAUGAAGGGAGGCAAGUUUCUCUGGGAUUGCCAGAGGAGUGAUCACGGAACAUAAUUAGCUUGGAGG
Molecule: long non-coding RNA, 300 nt
Organism: Lytechinus pictus (painted urchin)
Lineage: Eukaryota; Metazoa; Echinodermata; Echinoidea; Temnopleuroida; Toxopneustidae
Exons: 3
Source: RefSeq, a predicted model, not a curated record